Zingiber officinale is the source of this 836-nucleotide long non-coding RNA. RefSeq lists it as uncharacterized. The record is from RefSeq and is a predicted model, not a curated record. The transcript has 4 exons. NCBI's taxonomy places the organism in Eukaryota, Viridiplantae, Streptophyta, Magnoliopsida, Zingiberales, Zingiberaceae.
UAAAAAUCACCGAUUCUUCUCCCGAUUGCGCUGAUCAAUAGUGAGAGCUCGACGGUUGCUGCAGCACCCGAUCGCGCCGACGUCGUGUCACAAGUCGAGUCUCUGACCUCCUCUACUCCUUAAUGGAAGUAUCAUCUGUAGAGUUCCUCUCCGAAAAGCUGCCUCGCGCAAGGGAUGUUCGGUCGAGCGAGGAGAUUUGAGCUCCGGUGUCGCUAGGGUUGAAUCGCCGAUUUCUGUGCUCAAUCUUAGUUGAGAGUUUGUGCUCCAAACGGCGGCCUCGUCUUCCCGAGCCCUAGAGCAGAGCUGAUUUCGCUGGGUUUCCCUUCGUCGAUUAUGGUGGUUUCUAUCAUCAAGUGCCUCACAGUAAAAGACUUGGCUGCAAAUCUCCAGCAGCAGGUAUCACCGGCGGGGAGCCUCAGUAGUUAUUUUCCGGCCAUGAAUCAGUAGCUUUGUAGAAGCUCCGAUUGUGGAUCCGUGGCAGCGGACAACACCAUUGUGCUUGUGCCGGCAAUAGCACCUCCUGGCAGUGGGGCAGUCGAGGUCUUUGAUCGAGGCUGGUGUCGCGACGAAGGUGACAUCGGAUUCAAACUACAUUUAGAGGCGGGUGCAUCUUGACUUGUUUGUUUAGCUACUGCCCUUAGUGCAUGAGUUAUUUGUGGAUUAGAGUAUAUGUUUACCUUAACUCCACUUGUAUUAGUUCUUGUGCUUGAUACUUUAUCCACUCAACCUUCGAGAUGCCCAGAUUUAUAUCUAUACAGUCUCACAUUAUUAUCCCUGAUAAUUAACAGAUACUAGACACUAUGUUUACUUGUUAGACUACUGUUUAUUUAUGUAUC